UACGUAGGGUGCGAGCGUUUGUCCGGAAUUAUUGGGCGUAAAGGGCUCGUAGGCGGUUUGUCACGUCAGGAGUGAAAACUCGGGGCUCAACCCCGAGCCUGCUUCUGAUACGGGCAGACUAGAGGUAUGCAGGGGAGAACGGAAUUCCUGGUGUAGCGGUGAAAUGCGCAGAUAUCAGGAGGAACACCGAUGGCGAAGGCGGGUCUCUGGGCCGUAACUGACGCUGAGGAGCGAAAGCGUGGGGAGCGAACAGG
RNAcentral lists this ribosomal RNA (254 nucleotides) under uncultured bacterium. Its description in RNAcentral is "partial 16S ribosomal RNA". It matches the Rfam family "Bacterial small subunit ribosomal RNA", at positions 524 to 776 of the family's 1533-position model. The record is from RNAcentral.